UGGGGAAUAUUGGACAAUGGGCGCAAGCCUGAUCCAGCAAUGCCGCGUGUGUGAAGAAGGUCUUCGGAUUGUAAAGCACUUUCGACAGGGACGAUGAUGACGGUACCUGUAGAAGAAGCCCCGGCUAACUUCGUGCCAGCAGCCGCGGUAAUACGAAGGGGGCUAGCGUUGCUCGGAAUGACUGGGCGUAAAGGGCGCGUAGGCGGAUGGCACAGUCGGAUGUGAAAUUCCCGGGCUUAACCUGGGGGCUGCAUUCGAUACGUGUUAUCUAGAGUGAGGAAGAGGGUCGUGGAAUUCCCAGUGUAGAGGUGAAAUUCGUAGAUAUUGGGAAGAACACCGGUGGCGAAGGCGGCGACCUGGUCCUUGACUGACGCUGAGGCGCGAAAGCGUGGGGAGCAAACAGG
RNAcentral lists this ribosomal RNA (404 nucleotides) under uncultured Acetobacteraceae bacterium. Its description in RNAcentral is "bacterial SSU rRNA". It matches the Rfam family "Bacterial small subunit ribosomal RNA", at positions 355 to 776 of the family's 1533-position model. Lineage: Bacteria; Pseudomonadati; Pseudomonadota; Alphaproteobacteria; Acetobacterales; Acetobacteraceae. The record is from RNAcentral.